AUGAACGCUGGCGGCGUGCCUAAUACAUGCAAGUCGAGCGAACGGACGAGAAGCUUGCUUUUCUGAUGUUAGCGGCGGACGGGUGAGUAACACGUGGAUAACCUACCUAUAAGACUGGGAUAACUUCGGGAAACCGGAGCUAAUACCGGAUAAUAUUUUGAACCGCAUGGUUCAAAAGUGAAAGACGGUCUUGCUGUCACUUAUAGAUGGAUCCGCGCUGCAUUAGCUAGUUGGUAAGGUAACGGCUUACCAAGGCAACGAUGCAUAGCCGCCCUGAGAGGGUGAUCGGCCACACUGGAACUGAGACUCGGUCCAGCCUCCUACGGGAGGCAGCAGUCGGGAAUCUUCCGCAAUGGGCGAAGGCCUGACGGAGCAACGCCGCGUGAGUGAUGACGGUCUUCGGAUCGUAAAACUCUGUUAUUAGGGAAGAACAUAUGUGUAAGUAACUGUGCACAUCUUGACGGUACCUAAUCAGAAAGCCCCGGCUAACUACGUG
Molecule: ribosomal RNA, 496 nt
Filed under: uncultured bacterium
Lineage: Bacteria
Description: partial 16S ribosomal RNA
Rfam family: Bacterial small subunit ribosomal RNA
Source: RNAcentral